GCGGACGGGUGAGUAAUGUCUGGGAAACUGCCUGAUGGAGGGGGAUAACUACUGGAAACGGUAGCUAAUACCGCAUAACGUCGCAAGACCAAAGAGGGGGACCUUCGGGCCUCUUGCCAUCGGAUGUGCCCAGAUGGGAUUAGCUAGUAGGUGGGGUAACGGCUCACCUAGGCGACGAUCCCUAGCUGGUCUGAGAGGAUGACCAGCCACACUGGAACUGAGACACGGUCCAGACUCCUACGGGAGGCAGCAUG
RNAcentral lists this ribosomal RNA (254 nucleotides) under uncultured bacterium. RNAcentral describes it as "partial 16S ribosomal RNA". It matches the Rfam family "Bacterial small subunit ribosomal RNA", at positions 98 to 353 of the family's 1533-position model. The record is from RNAcentral.